CCUACGGGAGGCAGCAGUAGGGAAUAUUGCUCAAUGGGGGCAACCCUGAAGCAGCAACGCCGCGUGGAGGAUGAAGGCUUUCGGAUUGUAAACUCCUUUUGAUAGAGAAGAUAAUGACGGUAUCUAACGAAUAAGCACCGGCUAACUCCGUGCCAGCAGCCGCGGUAAUACGGAGGGUGCAAGCGUUACUCGGAAUCACUGGGCGUAAAGAGCGCGUAGGCGGGAUAGCAAGUCAGAUGUGAAAUCCUAUGGCUUAACCAUAGAACUGCAGUUGAAACUGUUAUUCUAGAGUAUGGGAGAGGUAGGUGGAAUUCGUGGUGUAGGGGUAAAAUCCGUAGAGAUCAAGAGGAAUACUGAUUGCGAAGGCGACCUACUAGAGCAUAACUGACGCUGAUGCGCGAAAGCGUGGGGAGCAAACAGGAUUAGAUACCCUUGUAGUC
This 440-nucleotide ribosomal RNA is filed under the name uncultured bacterium. RNAcentral describes it as "partial 16S ribosomal RNA". It matches the Rfam family "Bacterial small subunit ribosomal RNA", at positions 338 to 795 of the family's 1533-position model. The record is from RNAcentral.